AGUCGUUGAUUUCACACUGCCGAGAAAAGCCUCUAGAUAGAAAAUAGGUGCCCGUACCGCAAACCGACACAGGUAGUCAAGAUGAGAAUUCUAAGGUGAGCGAGCGAACUCUCGUUAAGGAACUCGGCAAAAUGACCCCGUAACUUCGGGAGAAGGGGUGCUCUUUAGGGUUAACGCCCAGAAGAGCCGCAGUGAAUAGGCCCAAGCGACUGUUUAUCAAAAACACAGGUCUCUGCUAAACCGUAAGGUGAUGUAUAGGGGCUGACGCCUGCCCGGUGCUGGAAGGUUAAGAGGAGUGGUUAGCUUCUGCGAAGCUACGAAUCGAAGCCCCAGUAAACGGCGGCCGUAACUAUAACGGUCCUAAGGUAGCGAAAUUCCUUGUCGGGUAAGUUCCGACCCGCACGAAAGGCGUAACGAUUUGGGCACUGUCUCAACGAGAGACUCGGUGAAAUCAUAGUACCUGUGAAGAUGCAGGUUACCCGCGACAGGACGGAAAGACCCCGUGGAGCUUUACUGUAGC
RNAcentral lists this ribosomal RNA (520 nucleotides) under Staphylococcus aureus. Its description in RNAcentral is "partial 23S ribosomal RNA". It matches the Rfam family "Bacterial large subunit ribosomal RNA", at positions 1589 to 2110 of the family's 2925-position model. Lineage: Bacteria; Bacillati; Bacillota; Bacilli; Caryophanales; Staphylococcaceae. The record is from RNAcentral.